AGCAGCCGCGGUAAUUCCAGCUCCAAUAGCGUAUAUUAAAGUUGUUGCAGUUAAAAAGCUCGUAGUUGAAUUUCGGGAUCAGUACGCUGGUCAUGCCUUUGGUAUGCACUGGUGUCACUGGUUUCUCCCUUCUGAAGAACCGUGAUGUCAUUAAUUUGGUGUCGCGGGGAAUCAGGACUGUUACUUUGAAAAAAUUAGAGUGUUUAAAGCAGGCUCACGCUUGAAUACAUUAGCAUGGAAUAAUGAAAUAGGACGUUUGACCCUAUUUUGUUGGUUUCUAGGAUCGACGUAAUGAUUAAUAGGGAUAGUUGGGGGCAUUAGUAUUCAAUUGUCAGAGGUGAAAUUCUUGGAUUUAUUGAAGACUAACUACUGCGAAAGCAUUUGCCAAGGAUGUUUUCAUUAAUCAAGAACGAAAGUUAGGGGAUCGAAGACGAUCAGAUACCGUCGUAGUCUUAACCAUAAACUAUGCCGACUAGGGAUCGGAUGAUGUUAAUUUUAUAAUGACUCAUUCGGCGCCUUACG
This 522-nucleotide ribosomal RNA is filed under the name uncultured Glomeraceae. RNAcentral describes it as "SSU rRNA". It matches the Rfam family "Eukaryotic small subunit ribosomal RNA", at positions 569 to 1092 of the family's 1831-position model. The record is from RNAcentral. Lineage: Eukaryota; Fungi; Glomeromycota; Glomeromycetes; Glomerales; Glomeraceae.